This 333-nucleotide ribosomal RNA is filed under the name Triticum aestivum (bread wheat). RNAcentral's name for it is "partial small subunit ribosomal RNA". The record is from RNAcentral. Lineage: Eukaryota; Viridiplantae; Streptophyta; Magnoliopsida; Poales; Poaceae.
AUGGCAGCGCGAGACGGUGUCAUCUUCGCCAAACUGAGGGGAUUUACAAAAGUUAUCCUUGAGACGGAUUGUUUGGAGGUUGUAAACCUCUGGACCACUCGCCAUGAUUCACAUUCAAUUGUGGCACCAGUUUUAGUAGAAAUUGAAGAGCUUACUAGUAGUUUCCAUUCUUUUGUUAUUCAACAUGUAUCCCAGUCAGCUAACGGUCCAACUCAUAUUUGUGCGAGGCAUGCUUCCACGAUUGACUUUACCAAAAGUUGGCUCGACAACACUCCUAGAUUCCUGAUCAGCAGCUUAUUGGCUGAUUGCUCGACGAACUCCUUUAGUGAAUAA